Long non-coding RNA from Pantherophis guttatus, 397 nucleotides. RefSeq lists it as uncharacterized. The record is from RefSeq and is a predicted model, not a curated record. NCBI's taxonomy places the organism in Eukaryota, Metazoa, Chordata, Lepidosauria, Squamata, Colubridae.
AGCCAGGGCGUGUCUUAGUCUGUAGCUUCUGAGUCUGUGCAGAGAAACUGAAACUAGUCUGCUCUGCUGAAAUGAAACUAACUGUUCUCUCCUGCCUUGUGUUCUGCCUGUAACUUUUAUCACAUUGGAAGAAUCAACUAUUGGAUAAAAGCUACAUCUAGACAUUCCAAAAAAUGAAUGAAAACAGCAACGUGCUUGAGUUUCAAGACAAAGGAAAACAAAAGGCAAAAGAAAAUGGAGGCGUUACUUAGCAAAUGGAAUGCUUGCUUCCACUGUUCCUAAUCAACAAAUGGAUCAUCUAUAAAUCUAGAAAUUCCUCCAAUAGUUUGCAAAGGCAUAUAGAAUCCCAUUUAAAUGAAAAAUAUAUAAUUCAGGAAUAAAUUAAGUCUUUCCAGCU